AUGCAACGCUUCGGAAACGGCUGCUCCGGCGACAUCGCUGGAUGCAACGGUUGGCAACGCUUCGGAAACGGCUGCAACAUCGUUGUAAUCAGCGAUAUGGCACAAGCACAACUCGAUCGCGCUGCGAGACGAGGGAGGAAAACCGAACGGAAACGCAAUUUCUUUUUCAACAGACUUUUCUCCAUGUCGUCCGGCCGGAUCGUCGUGAGUUACGACUCGCUUGACAAUUUCCGAACUGUGGUCCGACUGAUGCCGAAAAGCAAGUACGAGAUAUGUCUGAACGCAAAAGCAUGGAUCGAGUUUGCGAACAAGUAUGAAGACAUAGACCGGUUUUUCAGGGAGCCUUUCGACCACACAUCCACCCUCGGCGAAGACUCAUCGAUCAGCGUGCAAUUCUGCACAACUCCCGCUCAGGCGGUUAGAAUAUGGACCGCUGGUAACCGUUCCUGCUUUCUCCUCGAUAAGGAGGGAUGGCAGCAUCACCGUCUCGCCCUCCCGGCAAUAACUAAUGUAGUCAUACUGUACGAAAAUUUCGAAAGUAAGGUGGUACAAAUUUUCAAGAGCCUGGUCGGAGCCGCGCGCGCCCAACCUUUUUGGCCUGCCGGCCACAGCGUGCAAACAUUGAUGAUAGACUUGAGCCCCUUCGAGGAGUUAUGCAACCCGAAUUACGUGGGUUUAAUUUACGAAUUGAAGUAUAAUUGCGCACAGCAGCUGCUGAAGGCUGCAACAGCGGAGGAUGAGGAGGAGGAGCGCUGUUGAGAAACAUUUGUUUUUUUUUUUAGAAAGAUUUUUCGUUUAUAAAAAAAAGUUUCCUCGCAAGAUUUUUCAUGAAUUUUUAGUUUGCAUCACUCAGGGAUUUUUAAUGUAAAAACAGUUGCUUCGCAAGAUUUUCUGGCAUUUUUCUUAUUUUGCAAGGUUUAGUUUGACUUUGCAAGGAUUUUUUCUGCAAACUUUUCUUUAAACUUUUUCUGUUUGUUUUUUCUCGUUCGGCUUUACCUUGAGAUUUUCUUCCUUGCAAAGGCCUUCUCUCAGGGACUUUUCUUUCUAAAAAAGGUGUCUGUUUUUCUGAUUUGUAAUUUUUUGACUUGCAAAAACCGAGCGCUCAACGUCUUUUUCGCAUCUCGUAUUAUCUAGUCCUGAGCAGGGAUAUUUUUUGUUCAUAAAAAUUACCAUGCAAGAUUGUUUUUUAAUCUUUUUCUGUUUUCAUUUGACACCGCAUGAAACAUUUGUAGCGAAGAAAUUCGUCGUCCUCACGGGGUUUGACUUGCAAGAUUUGUCUAUUUUGUUAUUUAUAGUCUAAGUUUGUUCAAUAAAAUGCAAUGAAUCAAUUUGUUUUUGAACAUGGAUGUUGUUUUUAAAUGCACACCGUCAACCAAGGACUAAAAAAUUAGAAUUCAUUUUUCUCCCCCAUUUUAAUCUCACCGUUUGGAUCAAAUAUUUUUGACAGAUUGCUAAAUCACUCAAAAAAAUCACUCAA
Molecule: long non-coding RNA, 1477 nt
Filed under: Bemisia tabaci
Lineage: Eukaryota; Metazoa; Arthropoda; Insecta; Hemiptera; Aleyrodidae
Description: lncRNA ENSSSA1UGG004280
Source: RNAcentral